Molecule: long non-coding RNA, 2002 nt
Filed under: Nicotiana benthamiana
Lineage: Eukaryota; Viridiplantae; Streptophyta; Magnoliopsida; Solanales; Solanaceae
Description: long non-coding RNA (NBEN_LNC005891)
Source: RNAcentral
GCAAAAAAUCCUUACCCUUAUAUGUGAGUUUUCAAUUUUAUACGAUAAAACGGUAGAGCAUUUGAAUCCUUAAUCGUAGCCUGCAAAUGUAGCGAUAUUAUACGUACAACAACCUAUACAAGUUUUGAAUAGAAUUUUCAUUGGCACUAAUUCCUUAGCCAGAGUCACUAGCAAAAUGUAGCGACAUUAAAGGUUCAGCAACAUAUACAAGUUAGCCAAGAUCCAGAUAUCUAAAUAAGGCUCGUUGGGUUCAACAGAAAAUUUUCCCAAAAUCAAUAUAUUAAGCUUAUAACCAAGAUUACGGUCAGGAUAAUAAUCCCACCUAUAUAUAUAUAUAUAUGAUAAUAAUAAUAAUAAGAUUUAAUAUAAAAUUUACAUAGCAACUUGAACUAAUAACAAUAAAUAAACAGUAAAUAAAUACAAUUUCAAAUUAAUUAUCAAUCAAUAUCUUAAUCCAAACGACCCUUUGUUAAAAAUUAGCACUCCACUAUACCUUCCUUUCAAACCCUAGUUAUUAGGUUAGGUUGAUGUUACUACCGCCGCAAGAAAUAGUUAGCUAGUAAUAUAUACUUGUAAUAAAAUGUCCUUUGACAGAAUGUUGAUACAUAAUGGAGUUAUCAGUUUAAUUACAAUGCUUUGUAUUCGCACGAAAAUCUAGCCUGGAACGAAAAGGACAAGUAUCAGACAGUGAGCAAAGUCCUAGCCUUUUAACCAUUCUAUAACGCAAUUAGUAACAAACCCUAAAUUACCAAGAAAAACUUAUCCAACUGGUUAUUAAAGCAAGACUAUGGAAUGAUAAUUAAAGGAACAUAUUUUCCUUAAAGCAAACUAGUUAUAAAGAAUACGCAAAGCUGUUCCUAACCAAGCAGAAACAAUGUUAUAUAUACUUGUUUUGUUACAAGGAAGAUAAAGCUGAAACCAUUUCCCUAUUUACACAACUGCAAAAAAACAGAUGCAAAAAUGUUUUCUUCUGCAUCUCAAAUCUGGACAAAGAGAAAAGCUGCUGGGGCUGACUUUAUCUGUUCAAUCUGCGCAUUAAGAUUUUGCAAAUCCAACAAGCUGAUAAACUUUAAUUUCUUCAGAACCCAGAUAUAGGAAUUAAGAUCUACAGACCUGAAACUUGAAAAAGUCACAUAAUAAAAAAAACAAAUCAGUAGAUUUGGCAAAUCAAAUAAGGAAUGAAGUUAUACAGUAGAUACAAAUAUAUUCCAUGUUUUUUCUUCAGAUCCCAAAAAUAGAAAAGAAGAUCAGAUCUAGAGACCUGGAUAUUAAAAUCAGAUAUUAGAUCUCUACUAGUAAUAAAGAUAAAAGAAAUUAAGGACAACCAGAAUACAAAUCAGGUCAAAUGAAUGUAGAGCUCCCUUCAAUCCAAAAAGAGAUCCAACUUAGGGCAAUGAAGCUCCUGACAUAUGCAACCCACAAACCUAUCCAAUCAAAUAAUAGAUAGGACUGAGGAAUCCAUAGGUCGGCAGCUUAAUCUUACCUGUUAGAUCCUCUGUUGGACUUCAAGGAGCUCCACUCUCAAAACCCUAAAAAAACAUUCUUAUAUCAUAUAAAAAGACAAAAAAAGUCAAACCUAAAUCCUGUCCUAAAACUGCCAAAAACUGUCUUCAACUUCCAUCUCAAAACAACCCUAAACACAAACCUCACAUGUCAACAUAAGAAAAAGAUCAAAUUCUUGAAUCGAUCUACAUAUAUAUACAGAUGUAUGGUCAAGAAAGACAAAAAAAAACUGAAUAGAGAUAACCCUAGUUAGAAAAAGAAUGAACAAGAGAAGCAAAUUAGAAACAACUCAAAACAGCUAAUAAGAUGAAGUAGCAAAAGAAGAGAUAAGUGAGAAUUGUUGAAAGGAGAGGGGAGUAUAUAUAAUGGGUGUAGGAAAUGAGAUAUGGUAAGUAAGGGUAGUGCCAGUAUUUUUGGUUUUCUUUUGUUUGGUAAGAGAGUGAAAGCAUUGGGGGACGUGUGGGGCAAAUUAAAGUUUUUCUUGUGUGAUUACUAUUGC